RNAcentral lists this non-coding RNA (63 nucleotides) under bovine gut metagenome. RNAcentral describes it as "L13-Bacteroidia ribosomal protein leader". It matches the Rfam family "L13-Bacteroidia ribosomal protein leader", at positions 14 to 73 of the family's 73-position model. The record is from RNAcentral.
AACGGCUCUGUUUCUGCGUGUUAAUAGCUUUUCUCAUUGGCCUGGGAGAGCGGUUAGUGAAUC